AAGAGAGCCGUAACACAGGUGCUGCAUGGCUGUCGUCAGCUCGUGUCGUGAGAUGUUGGGUUAAGUCCCGCAACGAGCGCAACCCUUGUCAUUAGUUGCUACAUUCAGUUGGGCACUCUAAUGAGACUGCCGGUGACAAACCGGAGGAAGGUGGGGAUGACGUCAAGUCCUCAUGGCCCUUAUAGGUGGGGCUACACACGUCAUACAAUGGAUGGUACAAAGGGUCGCCAACCCGCGAGGGGGAGCCAAUCCCAUAAAGCCAUUCGUAGUCCGGAUCGCAGUCUGCAACUCGACUGCGUGAAGUCGGAAUCGCUAGUAAUCGUGGAUCAGAAUGUCACGGUGAAUACGUUCCCGGGUCUU
This 360-nucleotide ribosomal RNA is filed under the name uncultured Acidovorax sp. RNAcentral's name for it is "bacterial SSU rRNA". It matches the Rfam family "Bacterial small subunit ribosomal RNA", at positions 1020 to 1382 of the family's 1533-position model. The record is from RNAcentral. Lineage: Bacteria; Pseudomonadati; Pseudomonadota; Betaproteobacteria; Burkholderiales; Comamonadaceae.